Molecule: long non-coding RNA, 963 nt
Organism: Orbicella faveolata
Lineage: Eukaryota; Metazoa; Cnidaria; Anthozoa; Scleractinia; Merulinidae
Source: RefSeq, a predicted model, not a curated record
UUGCGCCAUCUUGUAAUAUAGUGUUAUAUUCGUCCAACAGCCGGUAACCGCGUAAGGACGGGAUAAGUCAGUUCGUGUCUCAUUUAUUUACUCUUUAAAUCUGCGCUGUAACACUGGAGCGAGGCAAAUAAUCAAGUGAUGGCGAUGGGGAAAUUGUUCAGUUUAUUAUUACCUUGUUGCGUGAAGGAAGACAAAUCAGAGUCAAACCCCACGCAGCGGCUAGUUGGCGGAGAUGUCACGCAACCUUCAUACUCAGCAGUACCUCAACCCAUUCUCGACCCUCAGACAAUCCAGUCAAAUCCGGAACAUUCAUUGGAAAAAAGUUCAACAAGCGUGUAUUACACUCCCUCCAGCAGCCUUACCGCGUCAACAAAUGCUGCCGACAGACCUCACGCUACAUAAGUUAAAGAAUCAAACGCGAUCCCUUGCUAGGGAAACAUUUACUUUCAAUUCUGUGCAGAAGACUUUUCAAACGUUCCUGGAAUUAAUUCUAAGACCUGUUGGUUUCCCAGCGCUCAAACCAAGUUGAAAGAUUUACUACAGAUAAAUGACAUUCUAUUCCAUUAGAUAUGAAAGAUAUUUUGGAAUUUUUUUCUGUGUACCCAGUAGUUUAAAAGCCCUUUGGGUUAUGUAGCUUCAUUUGGUAUAUAUCCAAACCUGGACGAAUUUUGCCGCAGUGUUUGUUUUUUUUUAAUUGAUGAACCUAUACCCAGAUUUGGCCGGGGAUGAUAUGGUUGUAUCAGGUACAGAGAGGCUUACAAUCCAGGGAAGUAGAGGCUUACUGUAACACCUUGACGAAUUUAACCAAUCACGAAUACCAUGCAUAACGUCAAUCAAAAAAUGAAUUUAUAUUUUAGUUAGGAAUGUCGCAAAAUUGCUAGGUCCAUUCAGUUUUUCUCACACAGAACAAAAGCUGAUGAUGUAAAUACAGUGUUAAAUUCAGAAGAGGAAAUAAGAAGUUCA